GCGGUGAAUACGUUCCCGGGCCUUGUACACACCGCCCGUCACGCCAUGGGAGUCGGUAACACCCGAAGCCUGUAGUCUAACCGCAAGGAGGACGCAGUCGAAGGUGGGAUUGAUGACUGGGGUGAAGUCGUAACAAGGUAGCCGUAUCGGAAGGUGCGGCUGGAUCACCUCCUUU
Molecule: non-coding RNA, 175 nt
Filed under: Ruminococcus sp. CAG:57
Lineage: Bacteria; Bacillati; Bacillota; Clostridia; Eubacteriales; Oscillospiraceae
Description: Bacterial small subunit ribosomal RNA
Rfam family: Bacterial small subunit ribosomal RNA
Source: Rfam by way of RNAcentral